CGAGUCCGAGUCUCCACGGAGACGAAGUGGCGGUCAUCCAGCUUCCUAGAAAAGCUCUAACCACGUUAAUCUUUAGUUGCCUGUACCCGAAACCGACACAGGUAGGGGGGUAGAGAAUACCAAGGGGCGCGAGAUAACUCUCUCUAAGGAACUCGGCAAAAUGACCCCGUAACUUCGGGAGAAGGGGUACCACUGAGAAGUGGUCGCAGUGAAGAGGCCCAGGCGACUGUUUACCAAAAACACAGGUCUCCGCCAAGUCGCAAGACGAAGUAUGGGGGCUGACGCCUGCCCAGUGCCGGAAGGUUAAGGAAGUGGGUUAGGGAUUCGUCCCGAAGCUGACGACUGAAGCCCCGGUGAACGGCGGCCGUAACUAUAACGGUCCUAAGGUAGCGAAAUUCCUUGUCGGGUAAGUUCCGACCCGCACGAAAGGCGUAACGAUCUGGGCGCUGUCUCGGAGAGAGGCUCGGCGAAAUAGGAAUGUCUGUGAAGAUACGGACUACCUGCACCUGGACAGAAAGACCCUAUGAAGCUUUACUGUAGCUUGGAAUUGGGUUCGGGCUUGGUUUGCGCAGGAUAGGUGGGAGGCGAAGAAGAUUUGCUUGUGGGUGAAUCUGAGCCAACGGUGAGAUACCACUCUAACCAGGCUAGAAUUCUAACUUCAACCCGUCAACCGGGGGAAGGACAGUUUCAGGUGGGCAGUUUGACUGGGGCGGUCGCCUCCUAAAAGAUAACGGAGGCGCACAAAGGUUCCCUCAGGCUGGUUGGAAAUCAGCCAACGAGUGCAAAGGCAGAAGGGAGCUUGACUGCGAGACCUACAAGUCAAGCAGGGUGGAAACACGGUCUUAGUGAUCCGACGGCACCGAGUGGAAGGGCCGUCGCUCAACGGAUAAAAGUUACUCUAGGAUAACAGGCUGAUCUCCCCCAAGAGUUCACAUCGACGGGGAGGUUUGGCACCUCGAUGUCGGCUCAUCGCAACCUGGGGCGGAAGUACGUCCCAAGGGUUGGGCUGUUCGCCCAUUAAAGCGGUACGUGAGCUGGGUUCAGAACGUCGUGAGACAGUUCGGUCCAUAUCCGGUGUAGGCGCAAGAACAUUGAGAGGAGUCUUCCUUAGUACGAGAGGACCGGGAAGAACGCACCGCUGGUGUACCUGUUAUCGUGCCAACGGUAAACGCAGGGUAGCCAAGUGCGGAGUGGAUAACCGCUGAAAGCAUCUAAGUGGGAAGCCCACCUCAAGAUGAGUGUUCUCAUGGAGUAAUCCAGUAAGGUCACGGGAAGACGACCCGUUGAUAGGCGGUAGGUGGAAGUUCAGCAAUGGAUGAAGCCGAGCCGUACUAACAGACCGAGGGCUUGACCGU
This 1355-nucleotide ribosomal RNA is filed under the name metagenome. RNAcentral describes it as "bacterial LSU rRNA". It matches the Rfam family "Bacterial large subunit ribosomal RNA", at positions 1564 to 2925 of the family's 2925-position model. The record is from RNAcentral.